CCAAGUCACCCUCGUCUUCAAUCUCCAGGAAACGAAACGCAUGCACGCUGCAACUCUUUCAGUUUCUAUGCUUUUACAUCUCCACUUAAUUUCCAGAGAUUUAAGCCACCAUUUAACGAGCGGUUUGUUCCUACUUAAGCCCCACUCAGUCCUCUCCAUUUCCCCUCUCCUUCCUCGCCAAAUGGUGCCCCAAGGCUGCUCGAUUUUGUCGCCGAACUCUGAAGUUCCGCCGCCGUCCGUCGAAGAUUCCGGCGAGCAUAGCAAUGACAUCGACGAAUUCCGAGUUCGCCGUUGCUUGGAACUUCUCCGGCAGCGCCUCCACGCCCCUCCAGAACAGGACCUAUCAAGCCACCAUCAACCUCGUGUUCCCUCGACGGGACGCACACCAUCGACCACGUCCGAGUUCCCCAUUAUCGUUACGUUUCUUGCUGCUGCUGAAUCCCCGCAUACUGAGAGGAGACAGGAGCUACCUUACCAAAGCCCUCCCGAAGAUAGCCGGAGCAUUGCCUGCGUCUAGGGCCGUGCCACCAUGGCCGUCCUCCUCAUGACAUUAGAGUCGCUGCAGCGUCGGUAACGACAUAAAUUCGUCCAUCCCGUGCUAUUCCAUCUCUAGUGUAAUAUGCCAUGUUUAGAUCAUUUGCCUAGCUGAUAGCAGCCUAUCAUUGGUUUCCACGUGUAUCUCUGUUGUUCUUUUUCCACACACUGGCUGGAAUCAUCCGAUUGAUCCGAUUCAUCUGGCAUGUGCUAGCUCAUCUCA
This is a long non-coding RNA of Lolium rigidum, 757 nucleotides long. RefSeq lists it as uncharacterized. The transcript has 3 exons. The record is from RefSeq and is a predicted model, not a curated record. NCBI's taxonomy places the organism in Eukaryota, Viridiplantae, Streptophyta, Magnoliopsida, Poales, Poaceae.